UUAGGCUAUCAAACAAAGCUGCCCAACCUUACACUCAUCCAUCAGUCUUGAGUUAUUAAGAGUAUAAUAACUGCAGAACAUUUACAAGUAGAUGGGAUGGAGUGCUGGCCCCUUUUCAAGAACAUAAUCAGUGCUACAAAACUUUGCAAGAUGGCUAAUUUUCUCAUGCUGGCUGUUCUUUGCUCUGCUAGGACCUGCUAGAAGGAAUGUUUUCUUGAAUUUAGGGUAACUAAUAUAGGAUGCUACCAAAACUGUCUAUCAUACCAUAUCUAGCACCAAAUCUUAAUUCUAUAUUAGUAAAAUAACUGUUGUAUAGCUAUUUCUCAAAAAGGCUUUGUGAUACGUUGAAGGGAAGAAAGAGAUCAGGAUAAGUGGAGGCAUCUAAGGUCUUAUAUGACUCUCUCGAGGAUAGGCUUAAAUAAAUCAAUGCACCAAAGUAGAGGUUGUAAGUGUCUCACAGCAGAAGUGUAACAAGAUGGAGGUAAAAUGGAUCCUUCUAAAGGACAUUUUCUCACUGAUUAAAAGACAGAGGCUGUGGUAGAGUGGAGUAGCUAUGUAAUAAUCUAGGAAUCUGAUCUGCAACUUAGGGUGUGCACAAAGACAUCCAGGCUGGUGCUGCUCAGUUUACUCCCACAGCCUGAAGAGCUGGGAAACACGGUGCAGAGGCUCUUUGCAAGCCAGCACUGAAACAGAAGCAAUAUAGCCCUGAGUGCUGUGCCAGCUGAACAGGAUUAUUCUGCUUCUCAGUCCCACUUGUCAUAUCUACACGGUACUUUGCUGUGCUGUGUGGACUUGCCAGAUCAGCUCAGUGCUAGCUUGGUCUUCAGCAUGUUCUCAGCAAUACAAAUGUAUGUACUCAUGGAAAUUAAGCUAAUCUGCUUGACUUCUAGAAGUGUAAGAGAACGCUUCCUGGGUAGCCAGCAUUGCUCUAAUUAAGUAGGACUGUGGGAAGAAAAAAGCAUGUCAGUCUGUACAGUGACUUUCCAGACAGAGUAUCCUGGCAGGCACUGAAAAGCUUAUUCGUUUGAGCAUCCUGCUCAAGUGAAAAACUUCAGGCUCUAUUUUGCCAGUUUAGACACUCAGAAAUCCUGUUCCUAGGAGGGAACAGGCAGCUGUCAGGAGCUGCCACUGGGCAGAGGAUGAUGCAAGGAGAGGCUGUGCUGAGAGAGCCUGGAGGAGAGCCAGCACAGCCUUGGUGGGAGGCAUGCAGGCCGACUCUAAUAGACUGCUUAAACUCAUGCUGGUGAACCAGAAGUCCAUAGACAAACAUCCUUAAGAGCCCCAAGAGACUUGCUGGUUUCUCACACUUUGAAGAAUAAGAUGAAUUGCUGGCUUACCUGAGGAAGCUCAGAGGAAGACUAUCUCCAGAAAACAGCAAUAAAAUACCAGAUAGAAAAUGUAGUUGCCUUUCUCUUUUUAUUUUUUGGCAUUGUGAGUAAAGCUCUUUCCUCUUUGCUUCAAAGAGCUGAAGAGUAAAGUAGUGUUUGAUUUGAUUCUUCUGCUCCUCUUUUCUAAAUCAGAAUGACACCUGUGUUGCCUUCCAUACCAACAGUCAAUUUAUCAUUAAAUACGUCAACUGCCGAAUACAAUUCAAAUAUUGGUUGAAGAAAACAAAAGCUCUUUAAAGAGAAACUGGAUUUUCAAAGGUAACUGCUGUAAGGCUGCAUUCCUUCUAAGGGUAGAAUCUAAGCUGCUGCUGACACAUCAGAUUAGAAAAAUAAUCAGCUGCAUCUUCAAAGAACAUUCUCGUCUUCUGCAUUUAAUUCUUUUGGGCCUACAUGUAAAUAAAGUGCUUAAUUCUUUAAAUCCAGAUGACCAGCUGAGUUUUACUUCUUUCACUUCUUUCACUUUUAAAGUCUCAAAAGCAAGGAGACCAUGGCUUUGUUUCAUACCUUGCUAUAGGACAAGAACUUCCACAGUUGAGACCUUAGACAUAGGACCUCCUCCUAGACAUUCUAUUGAAGACCUGAACAAUGAUCUGACCUCACUUAACGGCUCCGUGUCACCUUCUCUCCCCUCUUCUUCUCAUAUUCUCCCCACAUACUUAUACUGCCAAGCUCUAUUUGCCUUUUACUGAGUGCAUUCUCCUCAAAUUUCCUUAAUGCAGCGCACGGCGCGUGCUCACAUACUCACCUUGUGCCUUUGACUUUAGCCAGGAAAUGUGCCCUGCCCUUCUCUCCAAGGUUCUUGCCUCCACAGCAGAGGUUCCUCAGCUGCUCAGGAACCGAUGCUGAGCUGCCAUGAAUUAGAG
Long non-coding RNA from Gallus gallus (chicken), 2251 nucleotides. NCBI's taxonomy places the organism in Eukaryota, Metazoa, Chordata, Aves, Galliformes, Phasianidae. The record is from Ensembl.